CAUAGAAUGUCUAUUUGUUGUGUUUUUGGUUUUGUCAUGAUUGGAUAUCUCGUCCUUUGAUGUCCGGUGUGACAAAGUGGGUUCCUUGUUGGAAGGACUCAGCCACUCUUCCAACGUGGAUUCAAAAUUCGGAUGGCAGACAGCAGCCCACCCUUCCAGUAAGGCACCCCCCUUGUCACCGAACAAACAUCAAGGCACGAGAUAUCCGAUCAUGACAAAACGAAAAAGACGACAAAUGCACAUUCUCUG
Molecule: microRNA precursor, 249 nt
Filed under: Prunus persica (peach)
Lineage: Eukaryota; Viridiplantae; Streptophyta; Magnoliopsida; Rosales; Rosaceae
Description: miR8130 stem-loop (ppe-MIR8130)
Source: miRBase by way of RNAcentral